AUAAUUGGGAAACAGUUUGGAAUUUAUGCAAUGCCGUUAGAUGAGGGCUUCAAGGGCAGUAGAAAUUUUUGUAAAUCAAUGCAUGCUGUGGACCAGUGUGGAUGACUCGGUUGGAGAGAAAGAGGAGGUUUCUGAGGAUCCAUAUUCGGACUUUUAGUUAGAAAGGACAUCAGUUUCUUUCUAGCUUCUAGAUGAAGUUGCUAAUCAAAGGGUG
RNAcentral lists this unclassified non-coding RNA (214 nucleotides) under Hevea brasiliensis (rubber tree). The record is from RNAcentral. Lineage: Eukaryota; Viridiplantae; Streptophyta; Magnoliopsida; Malpighiales; Euphorbiaceae.